UACGUAGGGUGCAAGCGUUGUCCGGAAUUAUUGGGCGUAAAGAGCUCGUAGGCGGUUUGUCGCGUCUGCUGUGAAAACGCGAGGCUCAACCUCGCGCCUGCAGUGGGUACGGGCAGACUAGAGUGUGGUAGGGGAGACUGGAAUUCCUGGUGUAGCGGUGGAAUGCGCAGAUAUCAGGAGGAACACCGAUGGCGAAGGCAGAUCUCUGGGCCGUAACUGACGCUGGAGGAGCGAAAAGCAUGGGGGAGCGAAACAGG
This 257-nucleotide ribosomal RNA is filed under the name uncultured bacterium. RNAcentral's name for it is "partial 16S ribosomal RNA". It matches the Rfam family "Bacterial small subunit ribosomal RNA", at positions 524 to 776 of the family's 1533-position model. The record is from RNAcentral.